Molecule: ribosomal RNA, 320 nt
Filed under: uncultured Prevotella sp.
Lineage: Bacteria; Pseudomonadati; Bacteroidota; Bacteroidia; Bacteroidales; Prevotellaceae
Description: partial 16S ribosomal RNA
Source: RNAcentral
GGAGUUUGGACCGUGUCUCAGUUCCAAUGUGGGGGACCUUCCUCUCAGAACCCCUACUGAUCGUAGGCUUGGUGGGCCGUUACCCCGCCAACAACCUAAUCAGACGCAUCCCCAUCCUAUAGCGGUAAACCUUUGGUAUUCUUCAGAUGUCUUCUAAAUACAACAUAGAGCAUUAAUCCGACUUUCGCCGGGCUAUUCUCUACUAUAGGGAAGGUUGGAUACGCGUUACUCACCCGUGCGCCGGUCGCCAUCAAUCAAAGCAAGCUUCGAUCAUGCUGCCCCUCGACUUGCAUGUGUUAAGCCUGUAGCUAGCGUUCAUC